This 557-nucleotide long non-coding RNA is filed under the name Cricetulus griseus (Chinese hamster). Its description in RNAcentral is "lncRNA (ENSCGRG00015036944.1)". Lineage: Eukaryota; Metazoa; Chordata; Mammalia; Rodentia; Cricetidae. The record is from RNAcentral.
CGUUUGACAGGGCCUUAGAGGUCCUGUCCCUAUUUCAGCCUGAGUCAGCCUGUGUGAACCUCCUUUGGGAGACAAUCAGUAUACUGAAAUUUGGAGGGUGUAGGCUAGGCAUCAAAGGGGCCCUGCUGUUUUACCAGCACUGGGAACCAGUUAUAGAGACAUAAAGCCCAGGGGUGAUGCAAAGGUACGUGAGGGUCUGCCUGGGCCCUUGGAGAAGUUUCUGGAACAAAUGGGGCAGAAACCCCAGCCUUCACCUAAAGCACCCAUUGGGACUUUGAGCUGCUUCCACAGGGCUUGUGUGUGUGUACUGGUGUGCCCUGCAGAGGUGAGAGGGACCAGGGCUUGUGUGUGUACUGCUGUGCCCCUGUAGAGGUGAGAGGGACCAGGGCUUGUGUGUGUACUGAUGUGCCCUGCAGAGGUGAGAGGGACCAGGGCUUGUGUGUGUACUGGUGUGCCCCUGCAGAGGUGAGAGGGACCAGGGCUGGUGUGUGUGUACUGGUGUGCCCUGCAGAGGUGAGAGGGACCAGGGCUUGAGUAGCCUGAUAGUCCUGUGUCUG